Molecule: ribosomal RNA, 253 nt
Filed under: uncultured bacterium
Lineage: Bacteria
Description: partial 16S ribosomal RNA
Rfam family: Bacterial small subunit ribosomal RNA
Source: RNAcentral
UACGUAGGGACCAAGCGUUGUUCGGAUUUACUGGGCGUAAAGGGCGCGUAGGCGACGUGUUAAGUCACUUGUGAAAUCUCUAAGCUUAACUUAGAACGGUCAAGUGAUACUGAUGUGCUAGAGUGCAGAAGGGGCAACCGGAAUUCUUGGUGUAGCGGUGAAAUGCGUAGAUAUCAAGAGGAACACCUGAGGUGAAGACGGGUUGCUGGGCUGACACUGACGCUGAGGCGCGAAAGCUAGGGUAGCAAACGGG